AUGCAGGACUUGAUUAGUGCGAGCAGCGAGACCACGUCGACCACGCUGGUGUGGGCAAUGGCGGAGCUGCUGCGUAAGCCGGCGGCCAUGCGGAGGGCGCAAGACGAGGUCCGGCGACAGCUCGACGGACACCUGCACUACCUGCGGCUGGUCAUCAAGGAGACGCUCAGGCUGCACCCGCCGGUGAUGCUGAAACGGGAGUGCGGCGGCCCGCGGCAGCAGGUGCUCGGCUUCGACGUGCCACAGGGCGCCAUGGUGCUGGUCAACACCUGGGCGAUGGGCAGGGACCCGGCCCACUGGGACUCCGCCGAGGAGUUCGUCCCGGAGAGGUUCGAGAGCUGCGGCACGCCGGACUUCAAGGGGGUGGACUUCGAGUUCCUGCCGUUCGGCGCCGGCCGGAGGAUAUGCCCCGGCGUCUCCUUCGGCCUCGUGCACCUCGAGCUCGCCCUCGCGGCGCUGCUCUUCCAUUUCGACUGGAAGCUGCCGGACGGGAUGGUCCCCGAGGAGCUGGACAUGACUGAGGAGGCCGGGCUCAUCACGCGCCGGCGGGCUGAGCUGGUGGUGUUCGCUGUCCCUCAUGUCCCUGUGCCCACAGAUAACUAG
This 603-nucleotide ribosomal RNA is filed under the name Triticum aestivum (bread wheat). Its description in RNAcentral is "partial small subunit ribosomal RNA". The record is from RNAcentral. Lineage: Eukaryota; Viridiplantae; Streptophyta; Magnoliopsida; Poales; Poaceae.